Long non-coding RNA from Amphimedon queenslandica, 408 nucleotides. RefSeq lists it as uncharacterized. The record is from RefSeq and is a predicted model, not a curated record. The transcript is spliced from 3 exons. Lineage: Eukaryota; Metazoa; Porifera; Demospongiae; Haplosclerida; Niphatidae.
UGCUGGAGUAUGUAUGAUGUCAUUAGAAGAAUUGUAAAUUAAAUUAUAGUAGAUGCUCAAUUCAAUUUCUGACCUGUGUGGUUUCACUAUUAAGCUAGCUUGAAUAAGGGGAGUAGCUACAUACAUAAAUCUGUUGAGCUGUAAUUUGGGGUGGAUUUCUAGUUUCUAAAAUACAAAUUAGUUUGUCAACAUGAUUCAUCUCAUCGUCCGUUUAGUUGUGGGACUUGUUGUUGGUCUGUCUCGCUGCAUUUGCUUAGCAUGCAGUGACUGAUCAGUCUACUUUUGGAACAUUUUGACUCUUGCUAUUAACAGUAGAUUUAUUUUCUUAGUUUCAUUUUAGUUUUGCUUUGUACUUAAAAUAAUGUAAAAGUUUUAUUGCUAUUUUCAUAAUAACUAGAUACUAACUAA